AGCUGCAGUCGAGGAUCUUUCGCAAUGGGCGAUAAGUCCUGACGAAGCGACGCUGUGUGAAUGAUGAAGGCCUUCGGGUUGUAAAGUUCUUUCGCUUAGGAACAAGAGAGAUUGGUGAAUAACCAGGUUAAUUUGAGCGUAUCUAUGUAAAGAAGCACCGGCUAACUCC
RNAcentral lists this ribosomal RNA (169 nucleotides) under uncultured Chlamydiales bacterium. Its description in RNAcentral is "partial 16S ribosomal RNA". It matches the Rfam family "Bacterial small subunit ribosomal RNA", at positions 347 to 504 of the family's 1533-position model. The record is from RNAcentral. Lineage: Bacteria; Pseudomonadati; Chlamydiota; Chlamydiia; Chlamydiales.